RNAcentral lists this ribosomal RNA (472 nucleotides) under uncultured bacterium. RNAcentral's name for it is "partial 16S ribosomal RNA". It matches the Rfam family "Bacterial small subunit ribosomal RNA", at positions 28 to 507 of the family's 1533-position model. The record is from RNAcentral.
GACGAACGCUGGCGGCGUGCUUAACACAUGCAAGUCGAACGCUGAAGCUUGGUGCUUGCACUGGGUGGAUGAGUGGCGAACGGGUGAGUAAUACGUGAGUAACCUGCCCUUGACUCUGGGAUAAGCCUGGGAAACUGGGUCUAAUACUGGAUACGACAUGUCACCGCAUGGUGGUGUGUGGAAAGGGUUUUACUGGUUUUGGUUAGGCUCACGGCUUAUCGGCUUGUUGGUUGGGUAAUGGCUCACCAAGGCGACGACGGGUAGCCGGCCUGAGAGGGUGACCGGCCACACUGGGACUGAGGCACGGCCCAGACUCCUACGGGAGGCAGCAGGCGGGAAUAUUGCACAAUGGGCGGAAGCCUGAUGCAGCGACGCCGCGUGAGGGAUGACGGCCUUCGGGUUGUAAACCUCUUUCAGCACGGAAGAAGCGAAAGUGACGGUACGUGCAGAAGAAGCGCCGGCUAACUACGUG